This 1069-nucleotide small RNA is filed under the name Arabidopsis thaliana (thale cress). Its description in RNAcentral is "ATSL259360". Lineage: Eukaryota; Viridiplantae; Streptophyta; Magnoliopsida; Brassicales; Brassicaceae. The record is from RNAcentral.
UGGUGAUAUUCAUAUGAUUAUAUUCAAAAAUGGUUCAUACGAGUGUGUAAACCCUCUACGCUUUACAUUAAAUCCUAAUUUACUUACCCUAAAAUUAAACUCAAACCCUCCCAUGAUCCUUCUCCACUAAAUCUAAAACCAUAAAACAAAACUCUAAACCAUACAAAAAAUGAUAAUUUUACCAAUCAAUAAAAUACAUUUGCAGCAAAUCAAAGACAUAGUUGUCCAUUGAUGACUAUCCAAGCGGUUUAGUCCAUGUGGUAAUCUAGUGACUCAUGAGGUCGUUUCAUUUCAAUACACAAGUUUAUACAUGAAUGAUAAUCACCAAUUCAAACACCAAUUCAAAGUACAUCGUCCAUUUUAUCUCUCUUUCUCUCAAGCUAAAAUCUGAAACCACCGAUAUAGAAUAAAUGAGAAAUCGUUUACUCUUAGGAAAUAAAAAUCAAUUGAAAAUUGAGAAAAGUGCUAUAUAAGAGAACGUAACAUUAAUUAGAGAAGCCCAAGAUUUGUACUCUCGCCGCUGUGAUUAUCAGAGAAGUGGGAGAACAACGACUGAUGAUUUGCCACCAAAAACAAGAGAAACGAGAUCGCGGCUUCUACUGCUACACGAGAUCCUUCACUCGGUCGCUCGUUCACUUAUUCUUUCUUUUUUGUGACAUCGGCUUCUUUGUUCUCCAUAUUUUAUGGUCUCUGAAAUUCUAAGAUCUAACAAGCGAAUAACUGAAAGAAAAAAACCCUGCAAACUUUAAGGUUUUGAAGCAAUUGAAUGAACUUUAGGUAGAACGCAUGAAACUACAAUUACAUGAAUAAACACAUAGACAACAAAAUUAUCAGGGUAUAGAUCCUUAAAUCAAGUCGUAAUUCUAGCAAACACAUCAACCAUCAUCUUCCGCUGGAUUUUGUGUUUCUCGAGAAAAAAAAAAUAGAAAAAGGAGAGAGACAAAAAGAUUGUAACCUAUGUAAUUAAAGGGUAAAUAAGUCAAAUUGCCCAUACAAAAUACCUAUUCCUUGAAAAGUGUAUAAUCGCGUAAAUACUUUUUAAAAAGUGUCCUCUACACUGUAAUAUAGA